CCAUGGAUAAUUAAAUGGACACAAAUCAUAAUUGAUUGUGCAUCAUGUCAUGAAUAUGUUGUGGUAUUUACGUUGUCAUUUGUUCGUUUCCGAUUGCUUCUUCUCGAUAGAUUUCUGAAACCAAUUCAGAGUGUGAGGAUUCUAUAAACUACGUUGGUCCGUCUACUUGAUGGAUUCGUUCUUUUCCAAGCGGGAUCUAACGCAAGAUGAUCAUUUCCCUGGAUACCACUACUAUCAUUUCCAUGCUAGUUGUCUCAUUCCUAGCUCUAUGUCUUGCUUCCUACCACUUGCUUGUCAAGCCUCCCAAAAUGCCAUGAU
This 318-nucleotide long non-coding RNA is filed under the name Hordeum vulgare. Its description in RNAcentral is "long non-coding RNA (HVUL_LNC007468)". Lineage: Eukaryota; Viridiplantae; Streptophyta; Magnoliopsida; Poales; Poaceae. The record is from RNAcentral.